RNAcentral lists this transfer RNA (66 nucleotides) under Sitotroga cerealella. RNAcentral's name for it is "tRNA-Ile". The record is from RNAcentral. Lineage: Eukaryota; Metazoa; Arthropoda; Insecta; Lepidoptera; Gelechiidae.
AAUAAAGUGCCUGAAAAAAAGGAUUAUUCUGAUAGGAUAAAUUAUGUAGAAUUUCUACCUUUAUUA